UUGCUCAGGCAGCACAUGUGAUAAACUGGAAUUGAUACUGAGAAGAUUAGCGUGGCCCCCAUGUAAAGGUGCCAAGUAAAAUUCCUGAGAAUUAAAAAGUGAUG
Small nuclear RNA from Siniperca chuatsi (mandarin fish), 104 nucleotides. Lineage: Eukaryota; Metazoa; Chordata; Actinopteri; Centrarchiformes; Sinipercidae. The record is from RefSeq and is a predicted model, not a curated record.